This 73-nucleotide transfer RNA is filed under the name Candidatus Aenigmarchaeota archaeon ex4484_52. Its description in RNAcentral is "tRNA-Asn". It matches the Rfam family "tRNA". Rfam says of the family: Transfer RNA (tRNA) molecules are approximately 80 nucleotides in length. Their secondary structure includes four short double-helical elements and three loops (D, anti-codon, and T loops). Further hydrogen bonds mediate the characteristic L-shaped molecular structure. tRNAs have two regions of fundamental functional importance: the anti-codon, which is responsible for specific mRNA codon recognition, and the 3' end, to which the tRNAs corresponding amino acid is attached (by aminoacyl-tRNA synthetases). tRNAs cope with the degeneracy of the genetic code in two manners: having more than one tRNA (with a specific anti-codon) for a particular amino acid; and 'wobble' base-pairing, i.e. permitting non-standard base-pairing at the 3rd anti-codon position. RNAcentral also lists the same sequence under 1 other name. The record is from RNAcentral. Lineage: Archaea; Nanobdellati; Candidatus Aenigmatarchaeota.
GCUCUUGUAGCUCAGUAGGUAGAGCGCUUGGCUGUUAACCAAGUUGUCACAGGUUCGAGUCCUGUCAAGAGCG